AUGCAAGUCGAGGGAGAACCAUUCGAUCCGUAAGGACUGGAUGGGGAAACCGGCGAACGGGUGCGUAACACGUGAGGAACCUGCCCCGAAGACCGGGAUAGCCCGAGGAAACUCGGAUUAAUACCGGAUACCCUCUUUGGACCACAUGGUCCGCUGAGGAAAUGGUCCGCCGCUUCGGGAUGGCCUCGCGGCCUAUCAGCUUGUUGGUGAGGUAACGGCUCACCAAGGCAAAGACGGGUACCUGGACUGAGAGGACGAUCACUGGCACUGGGACUGAGACACGACCCAUACUCCUGCGGGAGGCAGGAACUAGGAAUAUUGGGCAAUGGGCGAAAGGCUGAUGCACCGACUCCGCGUGGAGGAUGAAGGCCCUCGGGUUGUAAACCGCUUUCGAGAAGGACGAAAAUGACUGCACCUCAAGAACAAGGCCCGGCCAACUACGUGCCAGCAGCCGCGGUAAUACGUAGGGGCCAAACCUUGUCCGGAUUUAUUGAGCGGAUAGGGCUCGGAUGCGGUUCACCAUGUCGAUCGUCAAGGCCCGGGGCUCAGCCCCCGGACGCCAGUCGUAACUGUUGUGACUCGGGUCCGGUAAAUGUGAUUGGCAUUCUCGGUGUAGAGU
Molecule: ribosomal RNA, 619 nt
Filed under: uncultured bacterium
Lineage: Bacteria
Description: bacterial SSU rRNA
Rfam family: Bacterial small subunit ribosomal RNA
Source: RNAcentral